UUCACUCUUCACAAAUCACAAGAACAAGAAGUUGCCCAUUUUCAACCCUAAAGGCCUAAUUUAUUGCCCUUUUUCAGUGUUUGUUACCUCUCUUUCUUGUGCCAAUCGUCAAUUUAUUGCCUGUCCUCUUCGAUUUGAUCAUGGUAUGUUUAUUAUGUAAUUAAUUUUUUCUCGUCAAGAUUAAUGACAGAGUAAACUCCCUGAAAAAUUACAAUUUCUCUUACUUAGCAUGUGUAUGUGGUUUUAUUUCAGGUAGAUUGAUGUUAAGAAGGGCCUUUGACUACAAUUAUCCCAAUCAGAGUGUUGAUGUCUUGC
Molecule: long non-coding RNA, 315 nt
Filed under: Olea europaea (common olive)
Lineage: Eukaryota; Viridiplantae; Streptophyta; Magnoliopsida; Lamiales; Oleaceae
Description: long non-coding RNA (OEUR_LNC003985)
Source: RNAcentral